GGGGUUGUGGCUCAGUGGUAGAGCACUCGCCUAGCAUGCAUGAGGCACUGGGUUCAAUUCUCAGUACCA
This 69-nucleotide transfer RNA is filed under the name Ictidomys tridecemlineatus (thirteen-lined ground squirrel). RNAcentral describes it as "Spermophilus tridecemlineatus (thirteen-lined ground squirrel) tRNA". It matches the Rfam family "tRNA". Rfam says of the family: Transfer RNA (tRNA) molecules are approximately 80 nucleotides in length. Their secondary structure includes four short double-helical elements and three loops (D, anti-codon, and T loops). Further hydrogen bonds mediate the characteristic L-shaped molecular structure. tRNAs have two regions of fundamental functional importance: the anti-codon, which is responsible for specific mRNA codon recognition, and the 3' end, to which the tRNAs corresponding amino acid is attached (by aminoacyl-tRNA synthetases). tRNAs cope with the degeneracy of the genetic code in two manners: having more than one tRNA (with a specific anti-codon) for a particular amino acid; and 'wobble' base-pairing, i.e. permitting non-standard base-pairing at the 3rd anti-codon position. The record is from Rfam by way of RNAcentral. Lineage: Eukaryota; Metazoa; Chordata; Mammalia; Rodentia; Sciuridae.